Molecule: unclassified non-coding RNA, 355 nt
Filed under: soil metagenome
Description: partial contains 5.8S ribosomal RNA, internal transcribed spacer 2, and large subunit ribosomal RNA
Rfam family: 5.8S ribosomal RNA (bases 1-121)
Source: RNAcentral
GAUGAAGAACGUAGCGAAAUGCGAUAAGUAAUGCGAAUUGCAGAAUUCCAGUGAGUCAUCGAAUCUUUGAACGCACAUUGCGCCCUUUGGUAUUCCGAAGGGCAUGCCUGUUCGAGCGUCAUUAUCACCCCUCAAGCCCCGUGCUUGGUGUUGGACGGCCGGUCGAGCGAUCGACCCCUCCUAAAGUCAAUGACGGCGGCCUGUGGUUCCCCCGGUACACUGAGCUUUUAACUGAGCACGUAUCGGACAAGGGCACCCGGGACCCGGUCCUCUCCUUCAACUAGGAAACUUCUAAGGUUGACCUCGGAUCAGGUAGGAAUACGCGCUGAACUUAAGCAUAUCAAUAAGCGGAGGA